RNAcentral lists this microRNA precursor (52 nucleotides) under Camelus bactrianus (Bactrian camel). RNAcentral's name for it is "mir-1302 microRNA precursor family". It matches the Rfam family "mir-1302 microRNA precursor family". The record is from Rfam by way of RNAcentral. RNAcentral also lists the same sequence under 1 other name. Lineage: Eukaryota; Metazoa; Chordata; Mammalia; Artiodactyla; Camelidae.
UUUUUAGCUUAAGUAUGUCCCAUAUAAUAUUUGGAACAUACUUAUGCUAAUA